RNAcentral lists this ribosomal RNA (255 nucleotides) under Rhizobium sp. RHZ01. Its description in RNAcentral is "partial 23S ribosomal RNA". It matches the Rfam family "Bacterial large subunit ribosomal RNA", at positions 555 to 814 of the family's 2925-position model. Lineage: Bacteria; Pseudomonadati; Pseudomonadota; Alphaproteobacteria; Hyphomicrobiales; Rhizobiaceae. The record is from RNAcentral.
ACCGGAUGCCUACAAACAGUCGGAGCCCGCAAGGGUGACGGCGUACCUUUUGUAUAAUGGGUCAACGACUUAGUGUAACAAGCAAGCUUAAGCCGGUAGGUGUAGGCGAAGCGAAAGCGAGUCUGAAUAGGGCGAUUUAGUUUGUUGCAUUAGACCCGAAACCGAGUGAUCUAGCCAUGAGCAGGUUGAAGGUUGGGUAACACCAACUGGAGGACCGAACCCGCAUCUGUUGCAAUAGAUUGGGAUGACUUGUGG